Molecule: unclassified non-coding RNA, 329 nt
Filed under: soil metagenome
Description: partial contains 5.8S ribosomal RNA, internal transcribed spacer 2, and large subunit ribosomal RNA
Rfam family: 5.8S ribosomal RNA (bases 1-120)
Source: RNAcentral
GAUGAAGAACGUAGCGAAAUGCGAUACGUAAUGUGAAUUGCAGAAUUCAGUGAAUCAUCGAAUCUUUGAACGCACAUUGCGCCCCUUGGUAUUCCGAGGGGCAUGCCUGUUCGAGCGUCAUUAUAACCCCUCAAGCUCAGCUUGGUGUUGGGGCCUGCUGCACUGGCAGCCCUUAAAAUCAGUGGCGGCGCCAUCUGGCUCUAAGCGUAGUAAUUCUUCUCGCUAUGGAGUCCUGGUGGAUGCUUGCCAUCAACCCCCAAUUUUUCUAUGGUUGACCUCGGAUCAGGCAGGGAUACCCGCUGAACUUAAGCAUAUCAAUAAGCGGAGGA